Molecule: ribosomal RNA, 29 nt
Filed under: Diaschistorchis pandus
Lineage: Eukaryota; Metazoa; Platyhelminthes; Trematoda; Pronocephalidae
Description: partial large subunit ribosomal RNA
Source: RNAcentral
CUGACCUCGGAUCAGACGUGAAUACCCGC